RNAcentral lists this ribosomal RNA (488 nucleotides) under uncultured eukaryote. Its description in RNAcentral is "SSU rRNA". It matches the Rfam family "Eukaryotic small subunit ribosomal RNA", at positions 780 to 1262 of the family's 1831-position model. The record is from RNAcentral.
GCGGGCGAACCUCGCCAACGAACGAUCGGACAUGGGAUAACGGAAGAGGGCGUCGGCUCGACUUCGUCGGUUCCUCGGGCCGAGGCACGUACGGUGAAUAGGGACGGUCGGGGCCGCCCGUACCGGGUCGUGAGAGGUGAAAUUCUAGGAUCGACCCGAGACGAACCGCCGCGAAAGCAUUCGGCAAGGACGCUUUCAUUAAUCAAGAACGAAAGUCGGGGGAUCGAAGACGAUCAGAUACCGUCGUAGUCCCGACCGUAAACGAUGCCGACCGAGGGCCCGGAGGAGUUACGUACGACCCUCCGGGCCCUCCCGCGAGAAAUCAGGAGUAUUCGGGUUCCGGGGGGAGUAUGGUCGCAAGGCCGAAACUUAAAGGAAUUGACGGAAGGGCACCACCAGGAGUGGAAUCUGCGGCUUAAUUUGACCCAACGCGGGAAAACUCACCAGGUCAGGACACGGUAAGGAUUGACGGACUGAAGGCUCUUUCU